Molecule: ribosomal RNA, 253 nt
Filed under: uncultured bacterium
Lineage: Bacteria
Description: partial 16S ribosomal RNA
Rfam family: Bacterial small subunit ribosomal RNA
Source: RNAcentral
UACGUAGGGUGCGAGCGUUAAUCGGAAUUACUGGGCGUAAAGCGUGCGCAGGCGGUUUUGUAAGCCAGAUGUGAAAGCCCCGGGCUUAACCUGGGAAUGGCAUUUGGGACUGCAAGGCUUGAGUGCGGCAGAGGAGACUGGAAUUCCUGGUGUAGCAGUGAAAUGCGUAGAUAUCAGGAGGAAUACCGAUGGCGAAGGCAGGUCUCUGGGCUGACACUGACCCUCAUGCACGAAAGCGUGGGGAGCAAACAGG